Molecule: ribosomal RNA, 468 nt
Filed under: uncultured bacterium
Lineage: Bacteria
Description: partial 16S ribosomal RNA
Rfam family: Bacterial small subunit ribosomal RNA
Source: RNAcentral
GACGAACGCUGGCGGCGUGCUUAACACAUGCAAGUCGAACGGAAAGGCCCUGCUUUUGUGGGGUGCUCGAGUGGCGAACGGGUGAGUAACACGUGAGUAACCUGCCCUUGACUUUGGGAUAACUUCAGGAAACUGGGGCUAAUACCGGAUAGGAGCUCCUGCUGCAUGGUGGGGGUUGGAAAGUUUCGGCGGUUGGGGAUGGACUCGCGGCUUAUCAGCUUGUUGGUGGGGUAGUGGCUUACCAAGGCUUUGACGGGUAGCCCGCCUGAGAGGGUGACCGGCGACAUUGGGACUGAGAGACGGACCAGACGCCUACGGGAGGCAGCAGUGGGGAAUAUUGCACAAUGGGCGGACGCCUGAUGCAGCAACGCCGCGUGCGGGAUGACGGCCUUCGGGUUGUAAACCGCUUUCGCCUGUGACGAAGCGUGAGUGACGGUAAUGGGUAAAGAAGCAACGGCUAACUACGUG